GACGAACCACCCAAACGUUAUUCGGAAUUACUGGGCUUAAAGGGUGCGUAGGCGGUGCGGAAAGUUGGGUGUGAAAUACCUCAGCUCAACUGAGGAAUGGCGCUCAAAACUACCGUGCUCGAGGGAGAUAGAGGUGAGCGGAACUUAGGGUGGAGCGGUGAAAUGCGUUGAUAUCCUAAGGAACACCGGUGGCGAAAGCGGCUCACUGGAUCUCUUCUGACGCUGAGGCACGAAAGCUAGGGUAGCGAACGGG
This 253-nucleotide ribosomal RNA is filed under the name uncultured bacterium. RNAcentral's name for it is "partial 16S ribosomal RNA". It matches the Rfam family "Bacterial small subunit ribosomal RNA", at positions 524 to 776 of the family's 1533-position model. The record is from RNAcentral.